This 253-nucleotide ribosomal RNA is filed under the name uncultured bacterium. RNAcentral's name for it is "partial 16S ribosomal RNA". It matches the Rfam family "Bacterial small subunit ribosomal RNA", at positions 524 to 776 of the family's 1533-position model. The record is from RNAcentral. RNAcentral also lists the same sequence under 1 other name.
UACAGAGGGUGCGAGCGUUGUUCGGAAUUAUUGGGCGUAAAGCGCAUGUAGGCUGGACGUUAAGUCGCGUGUGAAAGCCCCAGGCUCAACCUGGGAAGUGCGCGCGAAACUGACGACCUUGAGUGCUGGAGAGGGUGGCGGAAUUCCCGGUGUAGAGGUGAAAUUCGUAGAUAUCGGGAGGAACACCAGAGGCGAAGGCGGCCACCUGGACAGACACUGACGCUGAGACGCGAAAGCGUGGGGAGCAAACAGG